This 386-nucleotide ribosomal RNA is filed under the name uncultured bacterium. RNAcentral describes it as "bacterial SSU rRNA". It matches the Rfam family "Bacterial small subunit ribosomal RNA", at positions 32 to 410 of the family's 1533-position model. The record is from RNAcentral.
AAUCAACGCUGGCGGCGUGCCUCAGACAUGCAAGUCGAACGAUUAAAGCUCCCUUCGGGGAGUGCAUAAAGUGGCGCACGGGUGAGUAACACGUAAGUAAUCUACCCUCGGGUGGGGAAUAACAUCGGGAAACCGAUGCUAAUACCGCAUAAUGCAGCGGCACCGCAAGGUGACAGUUGUUAAAGUAUUUAUUGCCUGGGGAGGAGCUUGCGGCAGAUUAGCUUGUUGGAAGGUAACGGCUUACCAAGGCUACGAUCUGUAUCCGGUCUAAGAGGACGGUCGGACACACUGACACUGAAUAACGGGUCAGACUCCUACGGGAGGCAGCAGUCGGGAAUUUUGGGCAAUGGGGGAAACCCUGACCCAGCAACGCCGCGUGAAGGAUG